Long non-coding RNA from Xenopus laevis (African clawed frog), 587 nucleotides. RefSeq lists it as uncharacterized. The record is from RefSeq and is a predicted model, not a curated record. The transcript is spliced from 3 exons. NCBI's taxonomy places the organism in Eukaryota, Metazoa, Chordata, Amphibia, Anura, Pipidae.
UUUCAGCACUGUGAUUGAAAAGAUGCAAGGUCGGUGGUGUAACUUGGGCUCAUUGGGCCCCCCUGCAAAAAAAUCGACUGUGGGGGCCGGCUUGAACAGUUUCUCCUCCUCAAGCCCCCCUCCCAGCCUACACGAUUUAAAGAAAUAAUAUGAAGUCUAUCUUCAGUAACACGGAAUGUUUACCCGGUUUAUACCAAGAACUAAGUCUGUUGCUGCACCACAAUUUGCAGCACAAUUGCAGGCCAUACCCAACUGUGAUUACAAUAAAAAUACAGGCAUAUUUUUCAUGGAAGAGUUUAUGGGAAGCUCCUAUGAAUGAAAUACAGAAGGUGGCAACAGAACAUGACCAGAACAUACAAUGAAAACUUUGCACAGAAGAUGGAGAUCAGAAUGUCUUUACAUUCUGCUUUCAAGAACAGAGCAGGAAAAGAGCAAUAUGCAGGUCCUAUCUGACAUGUUAGUGAAUGGAUGGAGCACAAUGGACGGAAAUAUGCAAAAACAAGGAACCGUGUCCCUGGCAAAUGAAAGCCUUGAAAGCAGAAAGGAUACAGAAGCAGGUCCUGGACCAACAGUGUCAAAACAUGAGA